RNAcentral lists this ribosomal RNA (168 nucleotides) under uncultured bacterium. RNAcentral describes it as "partial 16S ribosomal RNA". It matches the Rfam family "Bacterial small subunit ribosomal RNA", at positions 337 to 524 of the family's 1533-position model. The record is from RNAcentral.
UCCUACGUGAGGCAGCAGUUAUGAAUCUUCCGCAAUGGGCGAAAGCCUGACGGAGCGAUACCGCUUGAANGACGAAGCCCCUCGUGGUGUAAACUUCUGAACUGGGGACGAUGAUGACGGUACCCAGGUAAUAGCACCGGCUAACUCCGUGCCAGCAGCCGCGGUAAU